This 324-nucleotide ribosomal RNA is filed under the name Triticum aestivum (bread wheat). RNAcentral's name for it is "partial small subunit ribosomal RNA". The record is from RNAcentral. Lineage: Eukaryota; Viridiplantae; Streptophyta; Magnoliopsida; Poales; Poaceae.
GACGUGAUGCACGUGAUGAAGAAUCUUUGCGUGACCCUGCUUGGCUUCUUGGGCGUGUAUGGGAAGACAAAAGAUACACCUAAGGCACGGGAGGACCAGCAACGUAUGCACGGAGAAGACGGCAUACAUCAGGGUCAUGCAAGCUACGCUCUUACCAAAGAAGAGAAGGAAAUCUUCUUUGAAUGCCUGCUCAGUAUUAAGGUACCGUCUGGCUUCUCGUCGAAUAUAAAGGGAAUAAUAAACAUGGCAGAGAAAAAGUUCCAGAACCUAAAGUCUCAUGACUGCCAUGUGAUUAUGACGCAACUGCUUCCGGUUGCAUUGAGG